UACGUAGGUGGCAAGCGUUGUCCGGAUUUACUGGGCGUAAAGGGCGUGCAGGCGGUCUGUUAAGUCUAGGGUGAAAGCUCCCGGCUCAACUGGGAGAGGUCCUUGGAUACUGGCGGACUUGAGGGAGGUAGAGGAAAGUGGAAUUCCCGGUGUAGUGGUGAUAUGCGUAGAUAUCGGGAGGAACAUCAGUGGCGAAAGCGACUUCCUGGACCAGUACCGACGUUCAGGCACGAAAGCGUGGGGAGCAAACAGG
Molecule: ribosomal RNA, 253 nt
Filed under: uncultured bacterium
Lineage: Bacteria
Description: partial 16S ribosomal RNA
Rfam family: Bacterial small subunit ribosomal RNA
Source: RNAcentral